This 337-nucleotide small RNA is filed under the name Arabidopsis thaliana (thale cress). RNAcentral's name for it is "putative long intergenic non-coding RNA". The record is from RNAcentral. Lineage: Eukaryota; Viridiplantae; Streptophyta; Magnoliopsida; Brassicales; Brassicaceae.
CGGAAAACAUCAGGUCCUAGUACAGCUAAGAGCUAACAAUCUCUUGGUGGCUGUUCCCUUGCUCCACUUACAUAGUUAUAUGUCUCUACGUUCAAGCUUAGCCGUCGUUGGUUCAACAAUCUUUGUCAUGAGUGCUUGUCUGUAUUGCUCAUGGACUGCCCAUCUAACAUGUGUGCCACGCAGAUGACUGUGUCUAGUAGCAUAGAAAAAACUUGUGUGUACCCCUUGAUUGUGUCGAAUAAAACAGAAAGCUCAAAGUUUACAUGAAUUACUAAAUUGUUUCUCUUUAAAAUCCUUAAACUAUGUACCAUAUAUGCAUAUGGGAUUAAGAUAAUUA